UACAGAGGGGGCAAGCGUUGUUCGGAAUUACUGGGCGUAAAGGGCGCGUAGGCGGCCUGUUAAGUCAUACGUGAAAUCCCUCGGCUUAACCGGGGAACUGCGUCUGAUACUGGGUGGCUUGAGUUCGGGAGGGGGAUGCGGAAUUCCAGGUGUAGCGGUGAAAUGCGUAGAUAUCUGGAGGAACACCGGUGGCGAAGGCGGCAUCCUGGACCGAUACUGACGCUGAGGAGCGAAAGCCAGGGGAGCAAACGGG
Molecule: ribosomal RNA, 253 nt
Filed under: uncultured bacterium
Lineage: Bacteria
Description: partial 16S ribosomal RNA
Rfam family: Bacterial small subunit ribosomal RNA
Source: RNAcentral